GUAGUAUUCCGUCCGUCCCAAAAUUCUUGUCUUACAUUUGUUUAGAUGCGGAUGUAUCUAACACUAAAAUGUAACUAGAUACAUCCGUAUUUAGACAAAUUUAAGACAAGAAUUUUGGGACGAAGGGAGUAUAAA
Triticum aestivum (bread wheat) is the source of this 135-nucleotide non-coding RNA. The record is from Rfam. NCBI's taxonomy places the organism in Eukaryota, Viridiplantae, Streptophyta, Magnoliopsida, Poales, Poaceae.